This 490-nucleotide ribosomal RNA is filed under the name uncultured bacterium. RNAcentral describes it as "partial 16S ribosomal RNA". It matches the Rfam family "Bacterial small subunit ribosomal RNA", at positions 29 to 507 of the family's 1533-position model. The record is from RNAcentral.
AUUGAACGCUGGCGGCAUGCCUUACACAUGCAAGUCGAACGGCAUCGCGGGAAAGCUUGCUUUCCUGGCGGCGAGUGGCGAACGGGUGAGUAACACAUCGGAACGUACCGGCUAGUGGGGGAUAACCCGUCGAAAGACGGGCUAAUACCGCAUACGCUCUUCGGAGGAAAGCAGGGGACCUUUGGGCCUUGCGCUAGCCGAGCGGCCGAUGUCCGAUUAGCUAGUUGGUGGGGUAAAGGCCUACCAAGGCGACGAUCGGUAGCGGGUCUGAGAGGACGAUCCGCCACACUGGGACUGAGACACGGCCCAGACUCCUACGGGAGGCAGCAGUGGGGAAUCUUGGACAAUGGGGGCAACCCUGAUCCAGCAAUGCCGCGUGGGUGAAGAAGGCCUUCGGGUUGUAAAGCCCUUUCGGCAGGGAAGAAAUCGGCGGGGCGAAUAACCCUGCAGGAUGACGGUACCUGCAGAAGAAGCACCGGCUAACUACGUG